UGCGUAGGCGGAAGAUUAAGUCAGUGGUGAAAUCCUGCAGCUCAACUGUAGAACUGUCAUUGAUACUGAUUUUCUUGAAUACAGUUGAGGUAGGCGGAAUAUGUAAUGUAGCGGUGAAAUGCUUAGAUAUUACAUAGAACACCGAUUGCGAAGGCAGCUUACUAAACUGUGAUUGACGCUGAGGCACGAAAGCGUGGGGAGCGAACAGGAUUAGAUACCCUGGUAGUCC
Molecule: ribosomal RNA, 229 nt
Filed under: uncultured bacterium
Lineage: Bacteria
Description: partial 16S ribosomal RNA
Rfam family: Bacterial small subunit ribosomal RNA
Source: RNAcentral